RNAcentral lists this transfer RNA (71 nucleotides) under Loxodonta africana (African savanna elephant). It matches the Rfam family "tRNA". Rfam says of the family: Transfer RNA (tRNA) molecules are approximately 80 nucleotides in length. Their secondary structure includes four short double-helical elements and three loops (D, anti-codon, and T loops). Lineage: Eukaryota; Metazoa; Chordata; Mammalia; Proboscidea; Elephantidae. The record is from Rfam by way of RNAcentral.
ACACUGGUGGUUCAGUGGUAGAAUUCUCACCUUUCAUAUGAGAGACCGGGGUUUGAUUCCCAGCCAGUACG